CGUUUACAGUUCCUCUCGUUUGACUCGGCACAAAACAAGCAAACUUAAAUUGUGACACAUGUUUUUAAAAAAAAAAAACGGCAAAGCAAGUUUUCAUGGAAAAGGUUUUACUGUAUGGCACAUUAUGUUCACCACAUUUCUAACCAGUAAAAAUAUAUUUUCUGUUUCAAAGCAGAGAUCCCUCUUCCAUCACAUCCUUUUUACAGAAGUCAUCAUUUCUGCUUUUAUCUGCCGAAUUAUUACUUCUUCAGAUUGUACUGGCUACCUAUAUUUAUUAGUAUAAUUCACUCAAACCAGCAAUAGAGUAAACUAAACAAAAUUGAAACGAUUUUGGUUUUGGAAUUAGUGAUUGUGGACAAAUCUACUAAGUUAAUGGCGUUGGGCAUUUGCUGAUAGUACUGUUAUUAUUCAGAAAGCAGAUGAUAUUUGUUUUUGGGUUUUUUUAAAACACUGCAAGUUUUUGUUUUUCUCUUUUUCUUUUGUCAUGCUAUCCACAAUCCUUACCGCUUGGUGGCGGUAGUGCAAACCUACCGUCUUUUUCCAAUCACCAAUGAAACUCAAGAAGAAGAAGAAGAAGAAGAAGCGGCUAAACUGUUUAGCGUGAGAAUUUUUGCAGUUUAAGACGGAAAAGGUACUGGACAUAAACUUGUAACAAAUCGUCGUGUCGACAGUUUUGCUGUUUAUCAGCCGACUUCCGAGCUGCAAUUGGUUCAAGUUUUGACUGAGAGCCACCGUACCGUUGUCCCCAUCGUGUCGCAUUGAGUCUUGUCCAACUUUUAGUCAGUGGUGUCACGGGUGUGUGUGUGAUCCAGAAUCCUCAGCUUGACAGAGUCCACUCCCCACCAACCAAAGCGACGAGAAUCCUCAAACGGCGAUGCUUCCCUGCGCCACGAUUUUGACAUCAGCAAAUGAUCUUGCCAUUCCCAGAAAAAAACCCGAAUGAUCUCAACCCCACGCAAACAUUUCCAUUUAUUGGAAUGGAAAAGUCUCACGCAAAGCCACUGCUGCACCUCUAAUGGACGUCUGGUCAGGGGUGGUCAUGAUUUAACCAAAAAAAAAAGCAUGCCAUUAAAAAUUUUCCUGGACUGGCCAUUGUUUGCUUCUAACAUCGGACUAAUCCAAAAAGAUCUCACAGCCCGUCUCUUCCUGUCAUAGAAUUUUUGCCAGCUGAGCUGACCAGAGUUGAGGAGAAGCGAGUGGAAAUGGAUAAACCACAAAAGCGCAAGGAAGAAAACAAGUACUAAAAAGCCUGCAAAAUGUGCCACACCUACCGAUGCGUUUCCGAUUGCUAGCAGGUGGACGACGGGAGAAAUGAGAAGAAUUAGAUAUGGAGGAGGAUUCAUUGCGGGAGAAGGACUAAGGAGAGAGACACGAGGCCAGAUCAGCUACUGAGGCAGAAGAUCACUUUUCGACGUUUCUUGGGAAACGAUAAAAUGCGACUACCUCGUCGAAGGAGAGGAGCGCCAGCAGCAACACGAUGCGGCUCA
This is a long non-coding RNA of Xiphophorus maculatus (southern platyfish), 1487 nucleotides long. RefSeq lists it as uncharacterized. The transcript has 4 exons. The record is from RefSeq and is a predicted model, not a curated record. Lineage: Eukaryota; Metazoa; Chordata; Actinopteri; Cyprinodontiformes; Poeciliidae.